ACAAAAUCUGAAAAUAUUUUCUAUAUCCUUUAUGGGGAAUUGAUUAAAAUAUUAUAGAAUUUCUGUAAAGUAGAUUAUUAUGCCGGAUGCACAAAUGCUUUGCAUAUUAGCUUCUGCGAAGUGGGGCAACAUAAACUAAAGGAGAGUCCAGUCCUGCUAGACUUGUGCUUUUCCUUUUCUGAUGCAGUCUUCUAAGGAGAAUGGAGUUAUGGAGAGUGCGGUUGGAGAGCUCAUCGAUAGAAACAAAUGAGGAGGAAAAGGAGGAGUAAUGAGCUGAACCUAAGUGUGUCUGUGUUUGAUAGACUCUGAGGAGGAGAGUUUUUUGAAUAGAGAAGAUUUCUGGUAUCCACCAUCUGCCUCUGGCCAUGGACCACUCUCUGGACAAUUUCAGUAUGAAGGGCCCAGGAGGGCAGUAUUGAGAGGCCCAUAUACAAACCAUGCAAAUGACAAAUGGUUGUCUUCCCUGGCAUCCCCUGUCCUUGGACUUGUUUUCAGAACUUCUUGCCAUCUUCUUAGACUCUUGGUUCCUAAACUUAGAAUCCAUCCUUGUCUAGAAAAAUUCAAGAGGCUCUCAUGCUGCUACUUCC
RNAcentral lists this long non-coding RNA (587 nucleotides) under Bos grunniens (domestic yak). RNAcentral describes it as "lncRNA (ENSBGRG00000002009.1)". Lineage: Eukaryota; Metazoa; Chordata; Mammalia; Artiodactyla; Bovidae. The record is from RNAcentral.